Small nucleolar RNA from Lates calcarifer (barramundi perch), 85 nucleotides. Lineage: Eukaryota; Metazoa; Chordata; Actinopteri; Centropomidae. The record is from Ensembl.
UGCAAAUGAUGUUUUUUCUCACGAUGGUCUUCCAAGUCCUCUGGGCUCUGACGACAAUGCCUAAUGGCAACACUGAUGUAGUCUA